Chelonoidis abingdonii (Abingdon island giant tortoise) is the source of this 1622-nucleotide long non-coding RNA. RefSeq lists it as uncharacterized. Lineage: Eukaryota; Metazoa; Chordata; Testudines; Testudinidae. The record is from RefSeq and is a predicted model, not a curated record.
GGCUCCAACCUUCUCCCUUCCUCAUUCAGCACCUUUAAAGAAGCUGUAAUAAUAUUGACCAUAAACUUUAGGCCCAGAUUCUGCCAUACCAGGAGAGAGCUGGAUCUACUGAAGCAUCUGCUGCUGCAAUCACAAUCGGAACUGAAAAAAUGGUAUAUCACUUUUUUCUUAGUCAUUCAGAGCCAUAACCUCAGCUGGUGGAAUCUGAAGCCUGAGGAGGUGUACUCGUUUCUAUCAGCUGAGAAUUUGAUCUUAGGUUUUUUAAAACAUAUUAAAAGAUACUGUUCAAGAUAGUAACAUUUUUCUACUACACAGAUCUCAUUCCUUAAAACUUUUUGUUUACCUGUAAUUAAAUGUAAAAAAUGAAAUACUAAAAAGAAAUGCCUUUGUUAACCCAACUGAAAUCUGGAAGUUUUGGGUCAUGGUAAAUUCAUCACCUUCUUUUAUUCUAUGCUUUUCAAAAAUUUUAUUGGAAAAGAAAAUAUCAGCAAAUGCUAGUUAGAAAAAUGAUAGCUAAGGGAUAGCUCACUCACAGGAGUGGUCUCACUGGUGUCACUGGGGCUACUCGUGUAAGUAAAGGUUGCCCUGUUUAGCCCGAGAUUACGUAGGAAGUACGUUUAUUUUACAAAUCCUGGGUAUUGCUGCUGCAGAAACAUCAAAAUACUUUGGGUGGGAUCUUGAAAGGCAGUGAGCAAUCCCAUUGCCUAUUGAAUUUAGUGGGAGAUGCAGUUGCUCACCACCAGUCAAUACCUCCAUCUAUAAGGUUGAGUUGAACUUUGCAUUUAGGGCAGGAAUUUAAAGGUAGUACACAUGCAAGACUUGAUUCGCCUCUCACUUACAUUCGCUGCACACUUGUGGAACUCCCUGAGUUCAGAGGAGUUUUUCCUGAUGUACAAAGGUGCAAAGGAGAUUAGGGAAUACUGUACGUCAUAUGUAUGCACACAGAGUGGGAGAUUACUUGACCCAUCACUGAAAGACAGACAUGGAUUUUAAUUUAGAUUUGUACACUGUGAAUAAAAAGUUCAUCUGAAGGGCAAAUCACUGAUCAUCUUCCCUUCCUCAGUCUACUCCUGAGUAUCUAAUUAGCCCUUGGAAGGAGUGUGAAUCUUAGAUUUACACAGAUUAGAAUUUGCUUCGACAUGUCUGUCAAAAGCUGGCUAGAAAGAAAUAGCUUGCAAACAUCCAUGGUAAGUGGAGAGAUUGCUCACCAUUUCCUACAACAGAUGUGACAUGUAAAGGGAAGGCUAUGGUUCUAUACGUCACUCAAUAUAUCACACAGAAGGGAGGACCUGUGCUGUCUGUGAUAGCAAGCUAACGUUCCAUUUUCACAAAACCCAUCAGUUAACAUUCCAUUUCCUCUAAUCUAUAGCUGACCAAAUGCUUCUUACUGAACUUCUCUAAGCAUCUUGUCAUCCAUGAUAGCGCAGCCACUUUGUUAACUUUCUUCUGAAUCUAUGGUUUUAAAGCUGCUAAAGAGAGCUGAUAUCUCCACAUAUAAUAAACUUCUGUUUAUGAAAGUCACCAUGAAAGAAGACGUGACGCACAUGAUAGAGGGGAUUAACGCUGUAUGAUAUGAGGUCAAGAGCUGAGUGAUCAAUCCUCAGAUGCCUUUCAUCAGCAAC